RNAcentral lists this ribosomal RNA (669 nucleotides) under Triticum aestivum (bread wheat). RNAcentral describes it as "partial small subunit ribosomal RNA". Lineage: Eukaryota; Viridiplantae; Streptophyta; Magnoliopsida; Poales; Poaceae. The record is from RNAcentral.
AUGAGAGGAGAGGAGCCUCCACCCAACCCAACCCAUCCAACCAAGGAGCCCGUCCCAUCCCACUCCCCACGACGUCUCCCCUCCCAUCUCUCUCGCACCCACCUCGCCGCCGGCCAUGGCCGCCCCCAUCCUCUCCACCCCUCCCCCGUCAUCAGAAGAGAAGACAAGACGAGAUGGAGGGAGAUCCACCGCGACUCAGCUGGUCAGGCGGCGCGCCCAGAUCCGGCCUUGCUCUGGCCGUCGCCGAUGAGCUGCGCCCAGUUUAGCCAUGGCGCGACCGAGCAGGCGAGGAGGGAGACUAGACUCCCCCCCCUCUCUCUCUCUCUCUCUCUCUCUCUCUCGGGGGGCGCCGCCCUUCAUCUGCUCCCGCGAUGGCGCCGGAUCCACAUCCACAGCCACGGCCCCGGCACCCAUGGAGUGACCGUGUGCUUCUUCUCCAUGGACAUGGAGCUCCCACAACACACCAUGGAAGGCCUGGAGCUCCUUCUCACGGCAGGUGCACCGCGUAUAGGAGGGAAGACCAACGCUCCUCCAGGUCUGCUUCUUCCCGGGUCGCCGUUGCUCCACGGAAGGAGAAGCUCAGGCUGCCACCACACAAAGGGAGAGGAAUCCAAGAUGAAUCUAUCCCGCCUUACUGUCCAUGACCGACGACAGAGACAGCUACUUUGA